ACCCAAUAUGCCCUAAGGGGUGAAAGAAAUUCGCCUGAAAAGGAGCUCGCGUCCGAUUAGUUAGUUGGUGGGGUAAGAGCCUACCAAGGCGGCGAUCGGUAGCUGGUCUGAGAGGAUGAGCAGCCACACUGGGACUGAGACACGGCCCAGACUCCUACGGGAGGCAGCAGUGGGGAAUUUUCCGCAAUGGGCGCAAGCCUGACGGAGCAAUACCGCGUGAGGGAGGAAGGCUUUUGGGUUGUAAACCUCUUUUCUCAAGGAAGAAGACAGUGACGGUACUUGAGGAAUCAGCAUCGGCUAACUCCGUGCCAGCAGCCGCGGUAAUACGGAGGAUGCAAGCGUUAUCCGGAAUCAUUGGGCGUAAAGCGUCCGCAGGUGGCCUGUCAAGUCUGCUGUCAAAGACUAGAGCUCAACUCUGGAAAGGCAGUGGAAACUGGGAGGCUAGAGUACGGUAGGGGUAGAGGGAAUUCCCAGUGUAGCGGUGAAAUGCGUAGAUAUUGGGAAGAACACCAGUGGCGAAGGCGCUCUACUGGGCCGUAACUGACACUCAGGGACGAAAGCUAGGGUAGCGAAUGGGAUUAGAUACCCCGGUAUUCAAAACGC
This 603-nucleotide ribosomal RNA is filed under the name Pleurocapsa sp. NTRI10. RNAcentral's name for it is "bacterial SSU rRNA". It matches the Rfam family "Bacterial small subunit ribosomal RNA", at positions 168 to 802 of the family's 1533-position model. Lineage: Bacteria; Bacillati; Cyanobacteriota; Cyanophyceae; Pleurocapsales; Pleurocapsaceae. The record is from RNAcentral.